AGUUGUAUCUUGGAUAAAUGCCUUUAAAAUAAAUGUGCGAAUGCCUUACAACAUUAUGGUAACCUAAAGCUUAUACUUAGACGUUUCUUUUACGGAAUGGAGGAUACUAGGAAUUCUGACUCUCGAGAAAUUACUGACCUGUAAAUAGUUGGCUGUGACUUUGUAGUGGAUGGCCAAUGAUAAGGGUGAAAAAGGAGGGGGUUAACGAGGACCGGAGGGGACAGACCGAGCUGUCAUAAUAAAAAUCAGCGAAGCGUGACCACUACAUCUAACCAUUAACCGAGAAGACCUUCAACGCCUUUUGUUUACAGCUGUGAAGGCGAGGAGAAGGGGUGCGGAGUGGACGCUUUAGAUUGACGUAGGACACACAAAAAAAAGUGUUGCUGAAUGAAUGAACGCGCGUCUCGUACGACAAAUUUAUCUGAAUGAAGAUGAUUUACCCCCCCC
Non-coding RNA from Biomphalaria pfeifferi, 447 nucleotides. The record is from the annotation of a GenBank genome assembly. Lineage: Eukaryota; Metazoa; Mollusca; Gastropoda; Planorbidae.